Molecule: small nucleolar RNA, 132 nt
Organism: Plectropomus leopardus (leopard coralgrouper)
Lineage: Eukaryota; Metazoa; Chordata; Actinopteri; Perciformes; Serranidae
Product: U8 small nucleolar RNA
Source: RefSeq, a predicted model, not a curated record
UCUUCAGUAAGGUACAUCCUUACCUGUUACUCCAAAAUGGAGUAUCAGUUUAUGAUGAAUGGAGCUUUAUGAGAUAUGAUUAGUAUCUCUGGCUUGUAGGGAACAGCAACACCCUGCAAGACCCAUUCUGAU